Molecule: ribosomal RNA, 305 nt
Filed under: uncultured bacterium
Lineage: Bacteria
Description: bacterial SSU rRNA
Rfam family: Bacterial small subunit ribosomal RNA
Source: RNAcentral
AACGAACGCUGGCGGCAUGCCUAACACAUGCAAGUCGAACGAGAAAGUACUUUCGGGUACGAGUAGAGUGGCGAACGGGUGAGUAACGCGUAGAUAACCUACCCCCCAGUCUGGGAUAACCCUCCGAAAGGAGGGCUAAUACCGGAUAAAACAUUUCAUCGAGUGUUGAGAUGUUGAAAGCUCCGACGCUGGAGGAGGGGUCUGCGUCCCAUUAGCUAGUUGGUAAGGUAACGGCUUACCAAGGCUCCGAUGGGUAGCGGGUCUGAGAGGAUGAUCCGCCACACUGGCACUGAAACACGGGCCAG